RNAcentral lists this ribosomal RNA (468 nucleotides) under Triticum aestivum (bread wheat). RNAcentral's name for it is "partial small subunit ribosomal RNA". The record is from RNAcentral. Lineage: Eukaryota; Viridiplantae; Streptophyta; Magnoliopsida; Poales; Poaceae.
AUGUUGUUGGUUGUUUUUGUUGUGAUCCAAAGGCAAAGACGGAUAGCACUAUACAAGCUAGGAGUAUACAGGAUCCCAGAUCAAAUCAGAGCGGACACUGAAGCUUGUCUCCUUGAAGCUUUUCUUGGCCUGCCAAGAUUGGACGGAAAUGGCGUAAUAGGUCUAGCGAAAUCCCGGACACACGAGCAGAUGGCUGAAAACGAUGGCAUAUCAGCAAUCAGCGGUCCAGAUGCAAAGGCGACCCGAUUUUCCAGAAAAACACGGGCCAAAGAACCAAAUUGGAUUGGAUUUCUGAAAGAGUCAAUCUCUCUGAACAAAAAAAUACAGCGGACUUGCAUGCGUAUGUGUAGGCCUGACGCAAUCGCCGGCUGCUUCCGGCGAGUGAUAGAGCGAGCUCAUGCUUUGCGUGCAAGGUGCAACCUUGUGUACGCCGCUAGGAAUAGGAUUGAUUUGCAACAUAAUACUUGA